RNAcentral lists this long non-coding RNA (1828 nucleotides) under Zea mays. RNAcentral's name for it is "long non-coding RNA (ZMAY_LNC003961)". The record is from RNAcentral. Lineage: Eukaryota; Viridiplantae; Streptophyta; Magnoliopsida; Poales; Poaceae.
AACUAGUCAAGAAUUGAAGAUGAGCUCGUCAUCUGAAGGUAGCACUUGCUCUCCCUUCUCUGAUUAUUUCCAGUCUCCCUUCCCUUUCCCUUUGUUACCUCUGCAGCGCCCGGAAGAUAGCAGUAGCCCAAUACCCAGUAGUAACCGUGCAUCUCUGUUUGUGUGUUUGUGUUGUCUGUUCAGAUUUUAAUGGUGGCUGUGGACGUGCAGAAAUGCAGUGUUUAUAUAGUCUAUACUACUCUAUUAAGACUCUAACGUCAGCGUCCACACUUUCAUUGCCCCCGCAGUGCCCCCGCCUCCCUCCCACACCCGCGCAUGGACCACCUCCCUCGCCACAGGAACGCCGCCAGCUCGAGCCCCGUCGUGCCUCUCUAACCUAACAACCUCACUCGCCACAGGAGCGCCGCCACCCCCCACCAGUUAUCCACUUACCCCACAAAGUCCUCCGGCAGCCGGAACUUGCGCACGAACGACCGCGGCGCCGCGCCGCGCUCCAACCGGAUGUAUCGGCACCCUUCGCCGUUCAUGUCCUCCUCCUCGUCGCGCUUCCGCUUCCCGCUGCCGCCCUUCAUCACCAGCACCCGGUCCUCCUCCAGCGUCACCUGAAACACAAGCGGAUGCGGUUGGGGUCAGUUGCUGGCGCCCUGGACCCAACGGAGUAAAGGGACCACGCGCCGCAGGUGGCAGGUGCGGUACCUGGAUGUCUGACUUGGAGAGGCCGGGCACGUCGAGCACGAAGGCGUACUCGCGGGGGCUCUCCACUAUGUCCACCGGCGCUCCGCCGCCGCCGCCGAGCCCGUGGACGUGUCCGUGGCCGUGGUCGUGCGCCGCGUGGUGGCCGGUCGACCGCCGGUCGCCGUCUGCAGUGGCGAGGCGAUCCAGCACCUCCGGCAGGUGGAGGAGGCUGGUCACGGCCGUGUCGAACAGCUCCGUCAUGGCUCUCUCUCACUCACUCCCUCGAUCUAACUGUGUUCGCGUGGCGAGAUCUGCGUCGUCUUCCUUUGCUCUGGCUCUGCGAUGUGGCGAGGCGGUGUGUGGAAGGGGUUUGGGGGUACAAAUUGAGCGGCACCGAGAGUUCGACAUGCUUCGACAAGAUCUAAAUUAGAACGGAGGAGCAGUGUUUAGUUGAACGUACACAUGUGAGAUUAAUAGGGAAUGAGUGGAUUAUGGAUGAGACAAGUGCAUCUGAUAAAAUUCAGUAAUUCACGAUGAUUCGACAAGUGAGAUUAUGGAGGUUCGCGAUGAAGCACCGGCAAUGGACUUUAUUUAGACAAGUGAUGCCCAAGAAAAUAGGGGUAAACUGACACAGCUAUCACUUGUAUUACUUGCCCUAUGCGCGAAAGAAUCUGACACAGCUAUCACCCAUGAAGAUUUCCGGUUAACUUGUGGAAUCGGACUUCAUUUGAGACAAGACAACAAUACCAGCGUUGAGCUUGCCACUCGGCCAUGGCACAUACGAGAACACGAAAUGAUCAAGUAAGAACUGAACUGAAUGCACUAAUACAAAAGGCUGACUUGUGUUCGCUUCCUUGCUCCACAGGAAGUAUAGCUGAUAUACAAAUCGAGAUUUAUGUUCCGUGGCAUCGCACUAAUACAAAAGGCUGACUAGUCAAGAAUUGAAGAUGAGCUCGUCAUCUGAAGGUAGCACUUGCUCUCCCUUCUCUGAUUAUUUCCAGUCUCCCUUCCCUUUCCCUUUGUUACCUCUGCAGCGCCCGGAAGAUAGCAGUAGCCCAAUACCCAGUAGUAACCGUGCAUCUCUGUUUGUGUGUUUGUGUUGUCUGUUCAGAUUUUAAUGGUGGCUGUGGACGUGCAGAAAUGCAGUGUUUAU